RNAcentral lists this long non-coding RNA (1303 nucleotides) under Oryza sativa (Asian cultivated rice). RNAcentral's name for it is "long non-coding RNA (OSAT_LNC001920)". Lineage: Eukaryota; Viridiplantae; Streptophyta; Magnoliopsida; Poales; Poaceae. The record is from RNAcentral.
UAGAAAUACGGCUACGGUGUGUACGCGGCGUCGUCAGCCCACUCGCCGCACAUCCUCGGCGAGGUCGCCGGCGAUGGCGCCGCCACCGCCAGGGCGGCAGCGGCUGCCCUGCGACGGCGAGGAGGACGCCCCCCCCCCUCUCCACCGCCGCCGGUGAGGGCCUCCUCCGUCCAGCGAUCGCUUCCGGCGGGACGUACGGGGCCCGCCGCGAGCCUGGUGAGGGUUUUGUUCUCCCCUCCCUCUCUGACGAUAUGCUCUCUCUUGCUUCGCUUUGAUUCCGCAAGCCGCCGCUGGGAUCCAGUAAUUUUUUUUUCACUUAAUUCCACUCGCGCGUUUCAGUUUGUGCGGGAAUUCGUGGAUCAUUCAAAGGAUUGUGCUACAAAUUCCCACCAUAUCAUCACUAUAUCAGUGUUGUCUUUUACUGCAAUUUUUUUUUUAAGAAAAUGGGAUAAACCGGGCCUCUAAAUCCAUCCGGAUGUACGCAGCCGAUUUUAUGUGUUACUUACUACUACAUGUUAAUAAAUAAUAACCUGCAUAGUAGUAUGCAAUCUGGAUGAAUUUGUACAAAAAAAGAAAGCUGGAUUCCCAUCAUAUCAGUGUUGUUACUUACUGCAUUUUUUUCCAUUGUGUCACAUACUACAUGUUAAUAACCUGCAUAGUACUACUAGUAUGCAAUGUGGAUGAUUUUUGUACAAAAAUAAAACUGGAUUCCUAUCAUAUCAUUGCUGUUACUUACUACUGCACUUUUUCCCCGUGUCACUUAUUACUACAAGUUAAUAACCUGAAUAGUAGUAUGCAAUGUGGAGCCACCAAGCGACACCAUGUGGAGCCACCAAGCGACAUACAAAUAGAUAAAAAGCCCUUUCUACCAGUUGGGUUUGUCCACCAGCAUGAAUUGGCUUAUACAUGACUUAAAAACAUUAAUAAUAACGUGGUUUACAUAUUAGUGCACUGGAAUUUGCCAACAUGGCUAUCAAUCUUACUGCUUACAAAAUAAUCCACUAAUAUGUUCUUGAUACGGAAAGAAAUCUAAUACUAAUACAUGCUGCAAAAUGCAUCUGGUUUAUUCGCAGAUAUACUGGCUGCUGAUGUAGCAGAAGAACGUUGAUUCAUGAGAAAGUAAUAUGGCAGAAAAGGUUUGAUUUCAGAGAAUCGUAAUUUUGGGACAAUUGGAGCUGCAUUUCUCAGCGCCUCCUGGCUGCAGUCUCUCUCUGGGCAUUGAAGUAGACAGCAGCCACAGGAAGGCCAAGAUCAUUCUCCUCGGCGAACCGGCGGGUGUUGAAAUGGUCCCUGAAGGAUGGCA